Long non-coding RNA from Coffea eugenioides, 637 nucleotides. RefSeq lists it as uncharacterized. The record is from RefSeq and is a predicted model, not a curated record. NCBI's taxonomy places the organism in Eukaryota, Viridiplantae, Streptophyta, Magnoliopsida, Gentianales, Rubiaceae. The transcript has 4 exons.
AGGCUUCUCCACUAACCGCCUGUGUAAAAAUUACAGGUGGCACAAUAGUUGCAGCUCUUAACUUGAUAAAGGAACGUGGUGUUGACAAUAAGCAAAUUAAAGUGGUAGCUGCAGUUGCUGCUCCUCCUGCACUUCAGAAACUCAGCGAGAAAUUUCCUGGGCUUCAUGUAUAUGCUGGAAAUAUUGACCCCGCUUUAAAUGAUAAAGGGUUUAUAAUUCCUGGACUUGGAGAUGCAGGGGACCGUAGCUUUGGCACAUGAACUGAGAGAUACAAUAGUCUCUGGUGCAGUUUGGUUCUAGUUGCAUGUUCCUGCUUUGAACACUUGUGGAGAUGUAGUGAGUUUCCUUUAGGAGUUGAUUGAAUGGAUACUUGGAUCCGAUGUUGAAAAUCAUUCCUUGAACAGGCUGUCAGGGCCAUGGACUCGAAGAGGUAAACCGAUUUUCGGAAUGUCGAAAUGGGACUCCUGCUGUAUCGAUAGUAUGUUCAGUUUUAUUGUAGCCCCUUCUAAGUUUUAAAAGACUCAUCCACAGCGUAAAGUUAUAGUAUCAUAAUUCCGGAUUUGUUGUCUAGGUUUUUGAUCCACACUGCUUUAAAUGACUGGGAAGAAAAACAUCUUUUUCUUGAGCGUAUCUCGUA